Long non-coding RNA from Crotalus tigris (Tiger rattlesnake), 802 nucleotides. RefSeq lists it as uncharacterized. NCBI's taxonomy places the organism in Eukaryota, Metazoa, Chordata, Lepidosauria, Squamata, Viperidae. The transcript is spliced from 3 exons. The record is from RefSeq and is a predicted model, not a curated record.
AACCAUUUCUGAGGAAAAUAUUUUCAGUCAUUUAUUUUGGUAUGAUUUUAUGAGGACAAAGCUAAUUUUUGUGGUCAGCUGUCUACUUUUAUUCUAAGACUUAGUUUCAGGAGCUAUGAAGUGGAACCACUGCUGCUUAAUAGUUCCCAGACACUGGCAGUGUGACAAAAUGGAGCUGGUAGGACAAAACUGGAAAAAAAACCCACUAAAGAGUUGGAGCCACAUCUAUGAAAAAGAGAUCAAGUAACCAUUAUCUGUAACAGCUGUGCAAAAUUAGUUCCUUCAAGAUGCCUUGCUAUUGUCAUUUGUUAACAAUUGAUCAAAGCAAGUAGAAGAAACUUUAGUGGAUGCCUGAAGAAGAGACAAAAAAAGAAUGCUUGAUCAGUGAGGCUAUUCAGAACACUGUGUAACAUUGGUAGAUCUCUUGCCUAAUGGAUUUAGGGACAGUUAUUUGCUCAGGCAGCAUAAGAUGAUUGAUAAGGCAAGCAUAGCCUUAGAAAAGCUUUUGAAUGCUACACAUCUAAAGGAGACAUGUCUGGAAAUAACUGCAAAUCCACCUAAUGAAACCACACCUAAACAUUAAGACUGCUGGAUCCAGUCCUGUAAAGCGAUUGUAAAUGCAAAUGGUCAUUGUACAUUAAGUGAGGACUAACUGUACUUGGAUUUUGUGCUAUAUUAUUCAGACAAGCAGCACACUCAUAUUUCAUGCGUCCUACAUUGUACUUUGUAUUAUAUACUGUAAUUUAUUUUAUUAACUCUGGGUUGUGAUUUGUAAUAAAGUUGGAUUGACUGGCAUAUUGCA